This 879-nucleotide ribosomal RNA is filed under the name Triticum aestivum (bread wheat). RNAcentral's name for it is "partial small subunit ribosomal RNA". The record is from RNAcentral. Lineage: Eukaryota; Viridiplantae; Streptophyta; Magnoliopsida; Poales; Poaceae.
AUGAAGGGAGCUGUAGGGCGGGGGGCUGGUCCGUCAUCCACUAACCCGAUUCCGGACCAUACUGCUGAUACUGGGAGGGAGGAGGAGGAGGCGGACCACCGCCAGGAGGAUGAUGAGGAGUGGGAUAAUCUAGGUCACGACUCGGCCCUGGAAGAUGCUUUUGAAGGAUUGAAAUUGCACGGGGAGGAGGAGGAAGAUUUAGAUCUGUCAGGAGAAGUGGAAGAUUUGAUUAAGGAGGUUCGAUGGCUAUGCCUUUUUAGGGUUCAUACAAUGAGGCCGUUCAGCCACGCGGCGUUGCUAAAUUCUCUGAGGAAUGUGUGGUCGUGCACGCAAGGAGUUACAUUCAAUAUCAAAGGGCCUAAUCUCUUCCUAGCUCAGUGCCAUUGUUUGGGGGAUUGGAAGCGGGUGAUGGAAGGAGGGCCUUGGCAAUUUAGGAGGGAUCCGGUCAUCAUUGUUGAGUACGAUGGGUUUACAAAUGUUGCUGAAUAUGCCCUGGAUAUGUAUCCACUAUGGGCUAGAAUUAAAGGACCCCCGGAUGGGCUAAUGAGGAAGAAGGAGCUGGCUGAGAAAGUGGCUAAAAAGGUGGGCAUGCCACCCUUUACUGUUGCUGUCAAUGAAGGGAGGAUUAAUCCAUCGAGCUUUCUGAGGGUUAGGGUUUUUGUUGAUGUCCAUAAACCCUUGGUAAGGUUUGUCCCAAUCACUUUGAAAGAGUUCAAGCGAUACCUAGUGAGCUACGAGAAACUACCGAAUUUUUGCUUUUUUGUGGCUGCAUGGGCCAUGUGGUCGAAGAAUGUGGAGAUGGAGUGCAUGAUCCAUCGGAGUGUGAUUGGAGGCAAUGGUUGCAUUGGAGUAAUGAGCAGCCUAUGGGGGCGCAGGUAG